ACACCGCUAGCUCAAUUGGACAGAGCGUCGGUCUACGGAACCGAAGGUUGGAGGUUCGAGUCCUCCGCGGUGUA
This 74-nucleotide transfer RNA is filed under the name Phycisphaerae bacterium. RNAcentral's name for it is "tRNA-Arg". It matches the Rfam family "tRNA". From Rfam's summary of the family: Transfer RNA (tRNA) molecules are approximately 80 nucleotides in length. The record is from RNAcentral. Lineage: Bacteria; Pseudomonadati; Planctomycetota; Phycisphaerae.